RNAcentral lists this ribosomal RNA (599 nucleotides) under Vibrio parahaemolyticus. RNAcentral's name for it is "partial 23S ribosomal RNA". It matches the Rfam family "Bacterial large subunit ribosomal RNA", at positions 1187 to 1786 of the family's 2925-position model. Lineage: Bacteria; Pseudomonadati; Pseudomonadota; Gammaproteobacteria; Vibrionales; Vibrionaceae. The record is from RNAcentral.
UAGUAAACCGAAGCUGCGGCAAUGUGCUUUUGCACAUUGGGUAGGGGAGCGUUCUGUAAGCGGUUGAAGGUGUGUGGUAACGCAUGCUGGACGUAUCAGAAGUGCGAAUGCUGACAUGAGUAACGAUAAAGGGGGUGAAAAACCUCCUCGCCGGAAGACCAAGGGUUCCUGUCCAACGUUAAUCGGGGCAGGGUAAGUCGACCCCUAAGGCGAGGCCGAAAGGCGUAGUCGAUGGGAAACGGGUUAAUAUUCCCGUACUUCUUACAAUUGCGAUGGGGGGACGGAGAAGGCUAGGUGGGCCUGGCGACGGUUGUCCAGGUUCAAGUGCGUAGGCUUAAGAGUUAGGUAAAUCCGGCUCUUUUUAAGGCUGAGACACGACGUCGAGCACCUACGGGUGUGAAGUCAUUGAUGCCAUGCUUCCAGGAAAAGCCUCUAAGCUUCAGAUUGUAAGGAAUCGUACCCCAAACCGACACAGGUGGUCGGGUAGAGAAUACCAAGGCGCUUGAGAGAACUCGGGUGAAGGAACUAGGCAAAAUGGUACCGUAACUUCGGGAGAAGGUACGCUCUCGACGGUGAAGUCCCUCGCGGAUGGAGCUAUU